This 72-nucleotide transfer RNA is filed under the name Candidatus Woesebacteria bacterium. Its description in RNAcentral is "tRNA-Arg". It matches the Rfam family "tRNA". From Rfam's summary of the family: Transfer RNA (tRNA) molecules are approximately 80 nucleotides in length. Their secondary structure includes four short double-helical elements and three loops (D, anti-codon, and T loops). Lineage: Bacteria; Candidatus Woeseibacteriota. The record is from RNAcentral.
GCCGCUGUAGUUUAAUGGACAGAACAAGCCCGUCCUAAGGGUUAGAUGGGAGUUCGAUUCUCCCUGGCGGCA